This 1307-nucleotide long non-coding RNA is filed under the name Polistes canadensis. Its description in RNAcentral is "uncharacterized LOC106791545, transcript variant X2". Lineage: Eukaryota; Metazoa; Arthropoda; Insecta; Hymenoptera; Vespidae. The record is from RNAcentral.
AAUGUAUUUAGUUUACAAAUUUUAAGUGAUGCAAUAAUCAAGUGAAUAAUAUUUUUCAUUAAAUUUAAUUUGUGUUUUAUUUUCUCUCUAUAGUGAUCACCAAUUCGGAAUGAAAAUAGUUAAAUUUGAUGGCUUGCUGUGCGAUUCUGUUAUGUCUUAACCUAUAACAAUGACAAUAUUCUACAUUAAAUUUAAAAUACCCAUGAAUUCCAAACAUUCUUUUUAUCCAGUUACUAUUAACAAACAAUAUCAUAUCAUGUGUGUGGGACUCAGCUUUGAUUUUGAAAUUUGUUAAAUUACAUAUAUAGACUUUUUGAAUAGUUUUACAUAAGCUCUACAUUUUAAAUUUCAACCCAAGACCAUUACACACCAAAGAAGAAGUCACCAUUACAUAUUUUUGAAUAGUUUUACAUAAGCUCUACAUUUUAAAUUUCAACCCAAGACCAUUACACACCAAAGAAGAAGUCACCAUUACACCAUGAGACAAACGGAUAUAUAUAUCAUUUUUUUAAGGCUAACGCUAUAAAAAUUUGUGUCAACUAGUAUCUCCUUCGUAAGGAUUCCAAGUAAAAUGUUGUGCAAAUAAAGUGCAGAUGCAAUGACAAGAUAUCAUCAAAACUAGAAACCGUUUAAAAGUAAAGACAACAAUCUGAUAUGUUCAAUCAAUUUACUGGAAAAGGGAGCACAUUAUUUUCAAUAACGAUAGGAAGAAUUCGACAAUACCAUGCAGUAGUAUUCUAUUAAAAGAAUUGAAAAAGGAAUUAAAAAAUACAUUGUAAUAAGAAUACUUUUCUUGUACAAAAUGUGUAUUACAAAGCCUUGUACCAGAGAUGCCAUGUAAAUCAUUAUGCAAAAAGAAUGCAGCAGCAGUGAAAAGAAUCUGUUAAAAGGCAAACAUUAUUAUCUUGUAGUAGGAAGAAACCAAUAUUGUAAUACAAUGAAUCCAACAACACUGUCAUCAUGAAAAAUUUUGGAAGACGCUAAGGAAAGUUUCCCGUUCUCACCCUGGAAAGANACCAUGUUUUAUAAUAUUCUAUGAAAAGAAUUGAAGAAGAAAUGCAUCCUAGUUAUUACUAAUUUAAAAGACAUAUAGGAAAUAUACAUUAUAAUAAGAAUACUUUUCUUGUAAAAAAUGUAUUGCCAAACGUUGUAUCAGAGAUGCCAUGUGAAUUAUUAUACAAAUAGAAUGCAGCAGCAGUGAAAAGGAUCUGUUAAAAGNCAAACAUUAUUAUCUUGUAUUAGGAAGAAACCAAAAUAUUGUAAUACAAUGGUAUAAAAUAUUUAUUCAAAACUUUAAAGAACUUAUU